Brassica rapa (field mustard) is the source of this 3289-nucleotide long non-coding RNA. RefSeq lists it as uncharacterized. The record is from RefSeq and is a predicted model, not a curated record. NCBI's taxonomy places the organism in Eukaryota, Viridiplantae, Streptophyta, Magnoliopsida, Brassicales, Brassicaceae.
AUUCAUUAAAUAAAUAAAGUUUAAUUUUUUAAACAUAAAUAGUCAUUUAAAAUGAAAUACGAUAAAUAAAGAUAAAAUUUUUAAGUCUUUUAUAAAAUAAAACACAAAUAUAUGAAAAUAUGACAUUUACUAAAUAAUUGUCAAUUGAAAAAAAAAAAAAUAAAUCCGCGCUUUGAAAGCGCGGGUCAAAAUCUAGUGAGUAGUUAAAGUUGCUUUGAGAAAUAAGGAAAUAAAGAGAUUGGUUUAUACGAGAAAGAUGUCUAUAUAGCAAUGCUGAAACAGCAAAGAUAUUAAAGUCCAAAUAUGAAAAAGAAAAUAUAUACCAUUUUCCUCACUCUGCACAAAAUAUGUGAUUUAAAAUCACCUUUUGUAUAGUAUUCUGCUUGAACACCUUCCAACAGGAACAACGGGAACAUCUUCACUUCGAAUUUUCUGCCACAUGUCAGGGUCUCCAGAGGCGGAUGCUAAAAUAGAGUUUAAAGUAAAAAUGUUCCAAUGAUACUCUAUUUUCUACUCUAUAAUAGUGUAAAUUUAUUUUUUACUCUAUAUAUAAAGUAAUUUUUUUUAUUUUUUGUUCAUUACUUUAUUUUCAACUCUAAAAUAGAGUAUCACUGAAGCAACAUCUAGAGUUACUCUAUUUUUUUUUUUUGAUCAACAGAGUUACUCUAUUUUAAAGAAAAAAAUAAAGUAAACCAUUGGAAAUGGUCUCAUUAACCAAACUAAAACCAAAAGCCAAACAAAUUUUCAUCCAUGAACACACGCAACUGUUUCUUAAACGUUUACUGUAUAUUCUGUACUGUAUUUUCUUUUUGUAAAAGAAACUGUAUAUUCUAUUCCUGUCUUAGAUCAAUCUCUAUAUCAUGUUUAUAAAUUGAACACGUCGACAUUAUUUACAUUUCUUCAGUCACCCUCCGAUUGUAUAUCACUGAAAAACUUUUUGUUUUAGUAUCUCUAUAAUAUUAUUUGAGAAGUCACUUUCUUAGGUGUCAUACCCACGUUAACUCUCACGGUGGUUGAUUACUAUGAUACCUUUAAUGAAUUAAAAAUAAUUACAUUUUAAAUACUAUUAUUUCCUUUUAAAUUUUUUCUAAAUAACAAUAUAAAACAAAAAGGAGAUAUUUAUAAAGUUAAACAAAAUUAAAAACGAAAAUAUAUGUAUAUAUAAUAUGAUUUCAUAAAAAAAGGAAAAGAUCACACAAAUGAUCUUGAUGUUAGAAAAAAGAAAUAUUUAUCUUUUAAAACAUAAUUUUAUACAAAAUACAAAUAUAUAUUUUUUCAAAGUAAUAGAAUUUGUUUUAUAUAUCUAUCUAUUUUCUUAGAUGAUUGCAUAAAAUAAUUAAGUAACAUAAACUGAUAUAUGUUUAAUGGAAAAAUAAUAAUUUAUAAUUAGUAUUAUUGAAAUAUUUUUUUCAUAUAUUUAGUUGACUAUAAUAUCUUACAAUUACAGCAAAAAAAUAUAAAUUAUAUUUUACUUAUAUAAUAUAAUUUCUCAAAACAAUCACAUUUUUACUGCAUAUUUUAAGAGAUAUUAAAAAACUAAAAAUAAAUUUUAACAAUAAACAUCUUUUGAUCAAAUAACUACAACAUGAGUGACUCGACUAAUUCAUUUUAUAUCUAAAAUUAUAGAUUGAACUACAAUAAAAAUAUAUAAAUUAUAGGAUGACUUAAAACAUAUUAACAAAUGAAAAAUAAAAUAUUAACUCUUUGUUACCAUUUAGUUCUUUUGUAAAAUUUUAUAUAUGCAUGAGACUUUCAAAUAUUAUCAUCAUAUUAAUUUAUGUAAUUUGGAAUCACACACUUUAGUUUAUUUUUUAUUUCACUCUAAGCACAAUAUAUCUUAAGUUAUACAUAAUCUUACUAAAUAUACUUACAUAUCUGCUGUAAAAAAACUUACAUAUCUAAAAAAACAACCAACCAAAAUACAUAUAAGAAAAUUAAUCAAAGAACUAAUAUAUUUACAGUCAAAAAUAUUAUAGUUGAAUUCAAAGAAAUAGAUGGAAUCCAAUAUGUCCAAAUGAUAAUUAAAUUGACUGUAAAACUACAAAACUGAUUAGAUAUAAAAUAUCUAAAUUCAUGUGCAUAAUUAAAGUAAUACAAUAUUAUUAAUAGAAAUUAAAAUUAAUUUAAAACUAAAAGUAAAUAUUAAUCAAUUAUUAUAGUAUAUUUACUUUAUAAAUAUUUAUGUCCGUGCAUGAGCACGGGAAAAUCACCUAGUAAUAAUUAUAUUUGAGAUUACUCAUAUCAAAAUAUAAUCAUAUUUGACAAUGCAUUCAAAACAAACAUGAGCCCAAUUUUACAAGAAAGGUCAGAAUGCAUUGCGUUGCUUAUGUGUAAACAAGCCAAAAGAAAAAGGAAUUGGUUAGGUAUUCAAUAUUGGUAUGAAAUUUCCUAAGUAUUGUAUAUUGCUUUGCUAAGUAAAUGGCUACAAUUGGAUGUAAAUAUAUAAUUAUCAAAACUAACCAAGCAAUACUUCUUAAAAAUAAGUAAAUAUUCUUCACGAAGUUUACAUUUUGUACAUUUUUUAUAUAAUAUCUAAUAGAACAAUGAACAAAAAUGUAAAUUAAAGUAUUAUUUUUUAUAUACUCACCGGUCUCUACCUAGUAUAUAGUUUAAAACUCAGACCAAAAGUUAAGAUUGAGUUUGUCACUAAAGAUUGCAACCAUAAAGGGACAUGGCUUAUAAGAGCAUAUAAGCAUGACCGGGAGCUUGUGGUCAAGUGGUAAGGAGAAGGGCUUGGGAUGUCACCACAUUUCAAGUUCAAUUCACCUGCCAUGCGAAACUAAGUCACAUUUUCCUGGUCACCUUACUUGAACAUGGGCUACUGCAUUUCGGCCCAUUAGAAUACCUGGGAAAGGGUCUAUUUGUGGACUACACCUCCCAUCCGGGGGUUAUGUUUAGUUUGUGUCUUUAAUAGACCUGGGUUUUAACCCUUUUCUUUAGAAAAAAAAAAACAGUAUAUAAGCAUUGUGUUUUUUUUUUUGAAACACAUAUAAGCAUUGUGUAGUUACCCUAGUUAAUAGCCGAAGAACUUUCUUCUUGGUGUCGAUUUCAGUUCUGGGCGACAGAAAUAGAGGCAGUGUUGUUGAUGGCUUUGCGUAGACUUGUGUUAUAUCUAAAUGUUUCAGCUAAGUAUUUAAAAGGUUUUGUUUACUAUGAACGAACAACAUCAUAUAUAUAUAUAUAUUGAAGAAUUGUAAAAACCUCUCAUUACAUUACUGAAACAGAUGAAGUAAGAACAAGGUUAAGGCUCAUUAGUCCUUAUUAUUACAACAAGUUCACACAUUUUUAA